RNAcentral lists this long non-coding RNA (1186 nucleotides) under Parus major (Great Tit). RNAcentral describes it as "lncRNA (ENSPMJG00000012272.1)". The record is from RNAcentral. Lineage: Eukaryota; Metazoa; Chordata; Aves; Passeriformes; Paridae.
CACCAGAAUUCCAUGGUUUUGGAGCAGGAUCCAGACCGGUCCAUAGGUGUGGAGGAGGUCACCAGAAUUCCAUGGUUUUGGAGCAGGAUCCAGAUCCAAACCUUCUCCUUUGUUUCCAGGUCCCGUUGUGCGAGGCCAGCUCUCCAGGCAGCUCUCCAGGCACUGCAGCCUUCCAGGGAGCUCCUGGCUCAGCCUUCCCGUUCCCGAGCCUUCGGAACCGGAGCAGAGCCCCAAAAAACCCAUGUCCUCUUCUGAGCCCAUCCUGGACCUCAAGGGAGACACGGCAGAAGCACUUCCAGAGAACCUGGGAGGAGCAGGGGAUCCGAGCUCCUGCCAGCCAAGGGACACUCCAGGGAAUGGACAAUCCAUGGAGCACACGGAACCAACACCAGCAGCCCUCGAGGACGCUGUGGAGCCGAAGGAGAACCCCGGGACGGGGCAGGACCCGUCCAACCCCGGGAAUUCUCUUGGAACCUCCGUCCCUGCGGAGCCCAUCCCAGCCCCACCCUCGGAGGAGCCCAUCCCCAGCAGAGACCCUCAGGAGGCGAAGGAUCCCAGCCCCACCAGCUCCCCGCCGUGGCCAGCGGCUCCCGAGGAGCCCCCGGCGCGCCCCAACACCCUGGACUUCUCCAAAGGUGGGAAGGAGCUGGAGGAGGCGAGGCAGGCGGGGCAGCGGCGCGGCAGCGACCGGGCCGCGGUCAAGGAGAACGGCGUGGAGCCGGCUCCGGCCACCAGCACGGCCAGCAGCGAGGAGCGCCGGGCUCUGCAGUCCGAGCUGGGCAGGUGCAUCGAGGAAUUCCGCAGGAUCAAGAUCCCGCACGCCUUUCCCAACAAGAAGCGGCAGUGGCAGAGCGAGCUGCUGAAGAAGUACCAGCUGUGAGAGCAGAUCCCACUCCCGUCCCGUCGGGAAUGGGGAUCUCCAGGCGGCCGGGUGGCUGCUCCAGCCGUGGCACAGGCUGUCCACGCUCCCAAAAUGAGGAGCAGAGGUGGCUGAUGAAGCCCAGGCAGAUGUGGAAAGGGUCACAAGCCUGUUCCCAGCACGGUCAUCGAGGGGAUGCUCAGUGGAGCUGGACGGGGUCAGACAAGGAAGGAUGUCCAGGGUGAUGUUUGGGAGCGGCAGAAAUUCCCACAUUUCUGAGACUGAAUUCCCCUGGUGUUUCAAACAAUAAAAUCGAGUUGGUGUCCA